GAAGGGUCGCCGUAGAGUGUGCUCCUGCCUCAAGAUUUCUCGCGGGGAGUCCGAGAAGUGUACGGGUGCAGACACGUGUGCAACCUGCCUUUAUCAGGGGGAUAGCCUUUCGAAAGGAAGAUUAAUACCCCAUAAUAUAUUGAUUGGCAUCAAUUAAUAUUGAAAACUCCGGUGGAUAGAGAUGGGCACGCGCAAGAUUAGAUAGUUGGUAGGGUAACGGCCUACCAAGUCAAUGAUCUUUAGGGGGCCUGAGAGGGUGAUCCCCCACACUGGUACUGAGACACGGACCAGACUCCUACGGGAGGCAGCAGUGAGGAAUAUUGGACAAUGGGUGAGAGCCUGAUCCAGCCAUCCCGCGUGAAGGACGACGGCCCUAUGGGUUGUAAACUUCUUUUGUAUAGGGAUAAACCUUUCCACGUGUGGAAAGCUGAAGGUACUAUACGAAUAAGCACCGGCUAACUCCGUGCCAGCAGCCGCGGUAAUACGGAGGGUGCAAGCGUUAUCCGGAUUUAUUGGGUUUAAAGGGUCCGUAGGCGGAUCUGUAAGUCAGUGGUGAAAUCUCAUAGCUUAACUAUGAAACUGCCAUUGAUACUGCAGGUCUUGAGUAAAGUAGAAGUGGCUGGAAUAAGUAGUGUAGCGGUGAAAUGCAUAGAUAUUACUUAGAACACCAAUUGCGAAGGCAGGUCACUAUGUUUUAACUGACGCUGAUGGACGAAAGCGUGGGGAGCGAACAGGAUUAGAUACCCUGGUAGUCCACGCCGUAAACGAUGCUAACUCGUUUUUGGGUCUUCGGAUUCAGAGACUAAGCGAAAGUGAUAAGUUAGCCACCUGGGGAGUACGUUCGCAAGAAUGAAACUCAAAGGAAUUGACGGGGGCCCGCACAAGCGGUGGAUUAUGUGGUUUAAUUCGAUGAUACGCGAGGAACCUUACCAAGGCUUAAAUGGGGAUUGACAGGUUUAGAAAUAGACUUUUCUUCGGACAAUUUUCAAGGUGCUGCAUGGGUUGUCGUCAGCUCGUGCCGUGAGGUGUUAAGUUUAAGUCCUGCACGGAGCGCAACCCCUGUCACUAGUUGCCAUCAUUCAGUUUGGGACCUCUAGUGAAGACUGCUACGCAAGUAGAGAGUAGGUGGGAUGACGUCGAUCAUCCACGGACCGUAAGUGCUUUGGGCCACCACACGUUAAUACAA
Molecule: ribosomal RNA, 1186 nt
Filed under: Chryseobacterium indoltheticum
Lineage: Bacteria; Pseudomonadati; Bacteroidota; Flavobacteriia; Flavobacteriales; Weeksellaceae
Description: bacterial SSU rRNA
Rfam family: Bacterial small subunit ribosomal RNA
Source: RNAcentral